AUCUUUGCGCAGUGGCAGUAUCGUAGCCAAUGAGGUUUAUCCGAGGUGCGAUUAUUGUUAAUUGAAAACUUUUCCCAAUACCCUGCCAUGACAGCUUGCAGUAUAGUUGGCAUUGGGAAAAAAAUAGUAAUUUUUUUAAAAAA
RNAcentral lists this small nuclear RNA (143 nucleotides) under Saimiri boliviensis boliviensis (Bolivian squirrel monkey). RNAcentral describes it as "U4 spliceosomal RNA (ENSSBOG00000015329.1)". It matches the Rfam family "U4 spliceosomal RNA". From Rfam's summary of the family: U4 small nuclear RNA (U4 snRNA) is a component of the major U2-dependent spliceosome. The record is from Rfam by way of RNAcentral. Lineage: Eukaryota; Metazoa; Chordata; Mammalia; Primates; Cebidae.